GAGCGAACAGACGAGGAGCUUGCUCCUCUGACGUUAGCGGCGGACGGGUGAGUAACACGUGGAUAACCUACCUAUAAGACUGGGAUAACUUCGGGAAACCGGAGCUAAUACCGGAUAAUAUAUUGAACCGCAUGGUUCAAUAGUGAAAGACGGUUUUGCUGUCACUUAUAGAUGGAUCCGCGCCGCAUUAGCUAGUUGGUAAGGUAACGGCUUACCAAGGCGACGAUGCGUAGCCGACCUGAGAGGGUGAUCGGCCACACUGGAACUGAGACACGGUCCAGACCCCUACGGGAGGCAGCAGUAGGGAAUCUUCCGCAAUGGGCGAAAGCCUGACGGAGCAACGCCGCGUGAGUGAUGAAGGUCUUCGGAUCGUAAAACUCUGUUAUUAGGGAAGAACAAAUGUGUAAGUAACUAUGCACGUCUUGACGGUACCUAAUCAGAAAGCCACGGCUAACUACGUGCCAGCAGCCGCGGUAAUACGUAGGUGGCAAGCGUUAUCCGGAAUUAUUGGGCGUAAAGCGCGCGUAGGCGGUUUUUUAAGUCUGAUGUGAAAGCCCACGGCUCAACCGUGGAGGGUCAUUGGAAACUGGAAAACUUGAGUGCAGAAGAGGAAAGUGGAAUUCCAUGUGUAGCGGUGAAAUGCGCAGAGAUAUGGAGGACACCAGUGGCGAAGGCGACUUUCUGGUCUGUAACUGACGCUGAUGUGCGAAAGCGUGGGGAUCAAA
Molecule: ribosomal RNA, 725 nt
Filed under: uncultured Staphylococcus sp.
Lineage: Bacteria; Bacillati; Bacillota; Bacilli; Caryophanales; Staphylococcaceae
Description: bacterial SSU rRNA
Rfam family: Bacterial small subunit ribosomal RNA
Source: RNAcentral